This 253-nucleotide ribosomal RNA is filed under the name uncultured bacterium. RNAcentral's name for it is "partial 16S ribosomal RNA". It matches the Rfam family "Bacterial small subunit ribosomal RNA", at positions 524 to 776 of the family's 1533-position model. The record is from RNAcentral.
UACAGAGGGUGCGAGCGUUAAUCGGAAUUACUGGGCGUAAAGCGCACGUAGGCGGAUUUGUAAGUCAGGGGUGAAAUCCCGGGGCUCAACCUCGGAACUGCCUUUGAUACUGCAAAUCUCGAGUCCGGAAGAGGUGAGUGGAAUUCCUAGUGUAGAGGUGAAAUUCGUAGAUAUUAGGAAGAACACCAGUGGCGAAGGCGGCUCACUGGUCCGGUACUGACGCUGAGGUGCGAAAGCGUGGGGAGCAAACAGG